Molecule: ribosomal RNA, 251 nt
Filed under: uncultured prokaryote
Description: partial 16S ribosomal RNA
Rfam family: Bacterial small subunit ribosomal RNA
Source: RNAcentral
ACGGAGGGUGCAAGCGUUAUCCGGAUUUAUUGGGUUUAAAGGGUCCGUAGGCGGAAUUGCAAGUCAGAGGUGAAAGCCCACAGCUUAACUGUGGAACUGCCUUUGAUACUGCUGUUCUUGAGUAUAGUUGAAGUGGGCGGAAUGUGCGGUGUAGCGGUGAAAUGCAUAGAUAUCGCACAGAACACCUAUUGCGAAGGCAGCUCACUAAACUAUUACUGACGCUCAGGGACGAAAGCGUGGGGAGCAAACAG